Molecule: long non-coding RNA, 758 nt
Organism: Pogoniulus pusillus (Red-fronted tinkerbird)
Lineage: Eukaryota; Metazoa; Chordata; Aves; Piciformes; Lybiidae
Exons: 3
Source: RefSeq, a predicted model, not a curated record
AAGAAGGUAAGGGCUGCGCCCAGAGACACAGAGUAAUUUAGAGGAGGAGUAGCUGAGAUCUAAGCGGUUUCAAAACCACUCUUCUGCUCUAGUCCUAACUAAAGUCCAGCAGCUGUGAGGCAGUGCUCAGACCCCCCGAGGACAGCUUUAACUCAGAGCCUCUCCCUGGAAAGUCCUUUACCUGUUGGGCUUUAUCACAGAACCAUACCUAGGGGAGACUUGUAGGACCCAGGAGGAGAGAGUCCUGACAGCUGGGUGGGAUUCUCCUGCAUCCGAGCUCCCAGCAGAAGUUGCCUUCUGCAGACUGGUUGGAAGCAGUCACACAAAGAGGUGGUGCUUCAGAACUACAUGGUUGAUGGAACCUGAGCCCAGAGGUAGGAGCCUUUCCAAAGGCUAGAACAAGGAAAACAUGGAUAUACUGCAAUGGAUCCAUUGGAUUCAUAAACCCAAACCCAGGAAUUGCCAAAGAAGGACUGUUUCAAUCUCUGCCAAAGCUGGUGCAGAUGUUCUGCCAAAUGCAACGAUGCAGAUCCUUCAUCUCCCUACUAUUUUUUUGUUGGUGGUCUUGAUGUCCUUCCUUUGAGGAAUGCAUUCAGAGUGUGGAAACUGGAGAGGCUUCACUACUGGAAACCUUAAUUGCUACUACAGGCAAAUCCACUCCCGUUUCUGGAGGUAGGGAAUUCCCUCCAGCAAUGAAAUGACUGUGGCUCUAUAAACAUGCUGAGGGGAUGGUAGGAGGACAUAAAGGAGUAAUUCUA